AAAAUAGAGUGUUUCUCCUUCAAUUAUUAUUCUCCUGAAAAAGAUUGAUAUUCUGUGAAUGAAACCAAGUGAUCUAUACACUGCCGAGAGGCUAGUUUUAUGCCAGCAAAGAGGUAAUUGAAAUCAUUAGCAUUUACAGAAUACGUGAACCGGAUGAUCAUGCAUUUGGUCAGAUUGAGAGAUAGACAAUUGGCUUCGCAUCACGGUCCCAUUCUAGGAAGAUCAGAUUGAAUAAGGUCAUGACUAUUACCGCUGUCAGUGGAGUGGAACCAUUUUAGAUCGUCUGUGAAUAACAGUGAUCGUGAUUUACCUGAGAUGGAACUCUGGAUUCACUCCAAUAGACGACCGCCAAUAUCAUAUGAACGCAGCUU
This is a long non-coding RNA of Eufriesea mexicana, 371 nucleotides long. RefSeq lists it as uncharacterized. The record is from RefSeq and is a predicted model, not a curated record. NCBI's taxonomy places the organism in Eukaryota, Metazoa, Arthropoda, Insecta, Hymenoptera, Apidae. The transcript has 3 exons.